Molecule: non-coding RNA, 83 nt
Filed under: Desulfuromonas thiophila
Lineage: Bacteria; Pseudomonadati; Thermodesulfobacteriota; Desulfuromonadia; Desulfuromonadales; Desulfuromonadaceae
Source: RNAcentral
UGUCUGGGCGGCUGUGUGGGGAGCCUUCGGGCUCGCCGGUUUGCCUUUUGGCCGGUUCGCCAACCCGCACGGUCGCCCUUUUU